AGGCACAUUUGAAAAGUAGAAGUUAAAGGAGAAUUCAGCUUUGUUUCAGUCUUUCAUAUUUCCCAUUAAUGUGACUCUAAGUUUGACGCUAACUUUGAUCUCUUUGCUUCAGAGAUUCAGGGAAAUUAAGAGUUCCAUGAAACAGCAGUUUAGCUCAAACUCCCAAACAUCUGCUCAGUCUGACUCCGUGGAAACAGAUUUUAGAUGCUUUCUGGCUGUAUGGAGAGCUGAGCAUUCAGCCUGAACAGUAUCUGUCUUUCCUCGGAUGUUGGGACGACGACAGUGAUUCCUGCAGCUCUAGAUCCGUCAGCUGUAGAUCCAUCAGCUGUAGACUCAUCAGCUGUAGACUCAUCAGCUGUGGACCCAUCAGCUGUAGAUCCAUCAGCUGUAGAUCCAUCAGCUGUAGAUCCAUCAGCUGUAGAUCCAUCAGCUGUAGAUCCAUCAGCUGUAGAUCCAUCAGCUGUAGAUCCAUCAGCUGUAGAUCCAUCAGCUGUGGCUCCAUCAGCUGUAGAUCCAUCAGCUGUGGCUCCAUCAGCUGUAGACCCAUCAGCUGUACAUCCAUCAGCUGUGGCUCCAUCAGCUGUAGAUUCAUUAACUGGACUUCCACAGCUGAUUUCUCUCUGGACACGUGGCGAUUUUAAAGCCAGGCAUCAACAGCAGAGCACAGAAACCCGAUCAGCAUCCAGAGGUAUGAUAUCUCUCAGGACUUACUGUUGUCUCUCUGGCUCCAUCCUGACUUCUGUUUGGUUUAUCACCUCAUAA
Molecule: long non-coding RNA, 762 nt
Organism: Acanthochromis polyacanthus (spiny chromis)
Lineage: Eukaryota; Metazoa; Chordata; Actinopteri; Pomacentridae
Exons: 3
Source: RefSeq, a predicted model, not a curated record